This 644-nucleotide ribosomal RNA is filed under the name uncultured organism. RNAcentral's name for it is "SSU rRNA". It matches the Rfam family "Bacterial small subunit ribosomal RNA", at positions 28 to 642 of the family's 1533-position model. The record is from RNAcentral.
GACGAACGCUGGCGGCGUGCUUAACACAUGCAAGUCGAACGAAGAGCGAUGGAAGCUUGCUUCUAUCAAUCUUAGUGGCGAACGGGUGAGUAACGCGUAAUCAACCUGCCCUUCAGAGGGGGACAACAGUUGGAAACGACUGCUAAUACCGCAUACGAUCUAAUCUCGGCAUCGAGGAUGGAUGAAAGGUGGCCUCUAUUUAUAAGCUAUCACUGAAGGAGGGGAUUGCGUCUGAUUAGCUAGUUGGAGGGGUAACGGCCCACCAAGGCGAUGAUCAGUAGCCGGUCUGAGAGGAUGAACGGCCACAUUGGGACUGAGACACGGCCCAGACUCCUACGGGAGGCAGCAGUGGGGAAUCUUCCGCAAUGGACGAAAGUCUGACGGAGCAACGCCGUGUGAGUGAUGACGGCCUUCGGGUUGUAAAGCUCUGUUAAUCGGGACGAAAGGCCUUCUUGCGAAUAGUUAGAAGGAUUGACGGUACCGGAAUAGAAAGCCACGGCUAACUACGUGCCAGCAGCCGCGGUAAUACGUAGGUGGCAAGCGUUGUCCGGAAUUAUUGGGCGUAAAGCGCGCGCAGGCGUAUUGGUCAGUCUGUCUUAAAAGUUCGGGGCUUAACCCCGUGAUGGGAUGGAAACUGCCAAUCU